Molecule: long non-coding RNA, 1463 nt
Organism: Magnolia sinica
Lineage: Eukaryota; Viridiplantae; Streptophyta; Magnoliopsida; Magnoliales; Magnoliaceae
Exons: 3
Source: RefSeq, a predicted model, not a curated record
UGCUAGUGACAUUUUCGGUCACUGACCAAUGAGCUCACUUGUACAAACUGAAAAUCGAAAUAGUACUCUGUAAUCCUCCAGAUAGAACAAUGUAUAAUACAUGUUGUACAUCAUGCAUACCAACUGUUGGAUGAAUUACCUCAAUAAAGAACGUUUUGUGUGGAUCUCACUUGUGGGACCAUCUUUCUCUAUCGAUGAAUGGGCACACAUGGAUGUAUGGUUGAAGACUAUACCAUUGAUGCCCCUUUGGAUAAAAGUAGAGCUGGUUUGACCAUUUAAACUUUCCUUUCAUCAUUAUGUGUUUUUACACCUUAUAGAUUUGAUGAACUUUAACCAUUUUUGCUUUUAGCCCUGUUUGAGGGAUACCAUUCCUAUGAUAAAAAUGCAAUUGCCAAAGUAAUUUUCAGUCUGUCCAGAUACAUAAGGAUCCAUCAGAGGGAUGUUUCAGAUCAUCAAAAUAUACAAUCAUGUGUGCUUGGCUUGUCCAUAAUUGCUUGAGCCAAGAAAUGGACCUCAACCACCAAUUAUCCUUAUGUCGAAUGCUUACAUAGAUGCAUUGAGAUCGGAAAGCCUCGAGCGUGUGCAACCCAGCUCUCUUACAAUCCAACACAGGCCUGGCUAGAAGGUGUGCAAUAUCCAAGCUUUCCAUCAGGUGGUUCCCCACUUCUUGAUGCCACGGUCCAAAAAUCAGGCAAGUCCAUUCCAUAUGCUUAUUCAAAGUGGAAGUAACUAUAUAGAGUGUAGGCUUAGGGGUCCACAAUGCUUACAUGGAUGCAUGAUCAAAGCUGCUCAUCAGGUACAAGCCACUAUAUGGCUUUCCUUGUGCUGAAUUCAAGUCCAUCCAUAUUGAGUUGCAUGCUAGUUAAUGCUUCUGUAAAAAGGCUCAUAUUGAGUUGCAUGCUAUGAUGCUUAUGAUGCAGUUUUAUCCUUGAAGAAAAAGGGAAGAAAAAUCUGUCCACAUAUUUAUAUAAAAAAAAAUCCAUAGCUAUUCUCCUCCAUCUGCUAGUUACAGGUGGAGCAUUGGUAACAGACGGGGGCUUUGCUGAUUCAUAUGGGGAUGGAUAUGGACUUCAUUCAGUAUGGUUGUUUUUGCAGAAAAUAUUUAUGACUGAAAAUUUAAUUUUAGAUUGUGUAAUUCAGAUUAUGAGUGUACAUACUGUUUUAUUACUUGACCUCUAUGCAUGGCAGGGUGGUGCUGACAAAGGUCCUCUAUAUGGCAUGAGUUCUGGUUUUUGGGGUGCAUUUGAGAAGUCUCGCCUUGGGUGUCGUUGAAGUCCGUUGAUUUUUUUAUUUCCUUUUGCUUUUCCUUGUAGCUCAAUUUGUAAAUUUUAUGUCCAUUAUGUAACCUUUUAUUCUCAGGCCCCCUGUAAAUGAGGCUGGCUGUAAAUGAUUUACAGGUUGUGUUUAAAUGCUAAUUUAAGCCUGUAAAGGUCUUUUGAUUUAGAAGAUUCAGCCUAGCAGAA